CUCCUGCUGCCACUUCGUACCUCAACACUGGACGAGCAUGGGGGCCGUCUACGGACACGGAUCCUGGGUGGCCUCCUGAUUGACCUUGAUGACCUCUGAAAUGGAGGAGCACGUGAAUCCUCUGGAGAGGGAUCACUCCCUGUGUGUGGUUCUCCCUGAGGGACUGAAGAAGAACAUCACAGUGCACGGAAGUAAACCGGUCAUGGACGUACUGGUGAUGCUCUGCUCGAGUUACCAUCU
Molecule: long non-coding RNA, 240 nt
Organism: Nematolebias whitei (Rio pearlfish)
Lineage: Eukaryota; Metazoa; Chordata; Actinopteri; Cyprinodontiformes; Rivulidae
Exons: 3
Source: RefSeq, a predicted model, not a curated record